GUCCUGAAUGGCAUUGCCUAGGUUUUCUUCUAGGGUUUUGAUAGUUUUUAAACCCAUGCUUAAUUAAGAAAAAAGUCAGUGAUUCACUAAAAAAUAUAGUUAUUUAAAAUGGUAUAAAUCAUUUAUUUGCUCAAAAUGCUGAAAUUUAGGCAGGAUGGACUCUUGGAGGACCCAGUUCCAAGAUGAUCUCAUUCACCCUGCUGACAUGUUGAUAUUGUCUAUUUCAACUGGGAGCUCAGGGCCAGUGGCCUCAAUUCUCUACAGGACCUCUCCACCUGGAUAGGUUGGGUUUCUCAGAGCAUGGUAGCCUCAGGGUAGUUAGACUUUUUACAUGGUGGCAAAUUUCUCACAGAGCACAAAAGGGGAUACUUCCAGGCCUUUUUCAGGCCAAGUUGGUUUAUUAUAGCUUGAGCAAUUCUACUGGACCUUUGCCUAACUUGUCUGUCCUACCUAUGAUGCCUUUUCCAUGCCUUUUUGCUAAUCUACAUUCUAUACUUUCUCCACAAUCCAGCACAAAGAUCACUUCCUUCAUGAAAAGUUUCUAAUUAUUCUGCCUCAGUGUGAUAGCUCUUUCCUUUUGAAAUCUGACAGCUCUUAUUCUUUGUACUAUUCACUUCUCAUUGAAAAUAUGCUGUCAUAUUAUUAUUUACUUUCCUAUGGAUAGCAUAUCGUAUCUCCUCAACCCACCGUAUGAUCCUUGAGGACACAACCCAAGGACCAUAUCUACAUCACAGUGUCCAUCAUGUAAUGUGUGCUAAAUAAGUGUUUGAUAGCCAGGUCAUUGGUUGUACACUGAAGUAUUUUAGUUCUUUUCAGGAGAUGUUAUUCUACAUGAAGUGAUGUACAUCUUGAACUUAUACAGAUGCUUAAGAAAUCUAUUUGAGAAGAUAUUUACCUGUGCUACCAAAGAAGAAUUUAAAUUAGUCAUUGUAGGACAUCUUUUUUUUUGUGGAUUGAAGGUGCGAAAUGCCAUGUACUUAUUUCUGAGAAGAUGUCUCUCUCCGCUUUAGAAUCAUUAAUCUUUCCCACAGCCAGAGGUAGGCUGGCUUCCAUCUUGAUUGUCGGUGUUGCGGGGAGCUCCGUUCUUCUUUCUGUGUUUUUAUUGGUAUUUUAGUGAGAGGUACGGAAAGGCUGCCUGUUGGGCUGUUGAAGAAAUGUUGACAGUACCCAGGCCAGUACUCUGUAUGUGGCUCAGGCUUAGUAAGUACUUAUUGAAUGAAUAACUGCAUGAGUUUAAAGAACAGAGAUAGUUUAAAGAGCAGAGAUAGUUCUUUAUACAGCAGAGCAAGCGGCUGAUUACUUGGCAUGAUUUGAAAGGCAAAAAGGACUGCUUGAUACCUUAAUCUAGUGGAUAAAACACAGUGCCUGAAAUUCUUACCUUAGGUUUAUGAAUACUUUGUGUUUGGGCAUUGAAUGC
This 1417-nucleotide long non-coding RNA is filed under the name Macaca mulatta (Rhesus monkey). RNAcentral describes it as "lncRNA (ENSMMUG00000053746.1)". Lineage: Eukaryota; Metazoa; Chordata; Mammalia; Primates; Cercopithecidae. The record is from RNAcentral.